GGUACCUGUACGCGUUGCGGUGCAACGCUCGUGAAAGG
Molecule: non-coding RNA, 38 nt
Organism: Ruminococcus sp. DSM 100440
Lineage: Bacteria; Bacillati; Bacillota; Clostridia; Eubacteriales; Oscillospiraceae
Source: Rfam